GUUUGGCUUUUGCUCGGAGUGGGAUGAUAAAUAUGGGGGUGUUGGAUGGGCCUCCCAUUUGAAAAGCAGCACUUUUGUUUCUGUCUGUCAGGUGUCAGUCGGGAUGCGGUGGAAGCAGUCUUGCUCAGAGGCUGUUGCGACUCACCGUGCAGAUCCAGGAAGUCAUCUUAGCCCAGAGGAGGUCAGCAGGUGGAGUGGGAUCGCCUAGGAGACAGCUGCAGUGACAUCAUGCACUGCGCACGCAGGUGUACUCACGAGAGGUCAGAGCGUGGUGGAUUACGGCUGUGUGCUUUCAGUCUUUCGUUUUGCAGAGACCCGGGCUACACCCUCACAGCCAGUGCCACGAAGCUGCAAUCACUCUUACUAUGUGCAGUGCAUUCCAGUGUUUUCUAUUCUAAUCCUGUUUCAUUUGUUUUUCUAAAAAUGCUGUUUGCAACCCUCUCCAUUGAUUUCCUGUCUCCUGAAUGUUUUUAAUGGCAGUUUGAACAGCGCUGGAUUGGAGAGAGGGAGACAGGAGGCAGCCUGGGCGGAGGGUGCUGUCACUGUCCAGCCAGAAGCAGCAGGGGCAUGGGGCGCCGGGCCCCCGGGGCAGACAGCAUGAAGGUGCCAUUAUGGUGGGCGUCGGCCCCCGGGGCUGUGCUCGGUGCCUCCAAUCUGACAUGGGGGAGCUCCCGUAGCAACAAGAGGGGGCCUGUGAUUGUGUCGUGUUGGGGAGUCAGAAGCUGUGGUUUCAUAACUCAGACACGCUGCAUGGUGUCUGAAAGUCGUUUCAUUAAAUAUCGCGUGGAAUCAAAAUAGAAAUUACAUCUUUGGGACAAAGCCAUUCAGCCAGGAGCCAGGCAUUCUGAAUUGGAACCAGAAUAGUCUCAUGGAAGCUGGAACUGUGGAUCCAAGGCAGCCCUGUCUAUGCGGCCAGCCUCUCCCCUGGCUCACAUCUGAAUUCCCAGCAGUGCAGGUGGUCCGGGAGCCCAGUCCACUUGCAGGAAUCAGAGGCAGCUGAGGGGGGAACGGUGACAAGAGCCCCGCUUUGUUACACUUCAAGAUGGCUAUCUUUGAGGUGGUUUCGAAAGAAGGAGGAUGUGCCAGCUUCUCUGCUGUGUUCAAGCUACAAGGCCCCGUUGCCCUGGGGUUUCUUUAAUAGGCAAGUUUACAUUCUCCAGUGGGGUGGAGUCUUGUGAAAAUGGGAAGAUAAAUUACCAAGAAAUAAAUAAGCUACAUAUUUUGCAUAUCUGAGUGUCAUGUGUUAAGUUGCAGCCUGGCUGCGUGAGACUCUGCGCUUGGUUUCUUCUCUCUGCGUGCUU
RNAcentral lists this long non-coding RNA (1301 nucleotides) under Equus asinus (donkey). RNAcentral's name for it is "lncRNA (ENSEASG00005029377.1)". Lineage: Eukaryota; Metazoa; Chordata; Mammalia; Perissodactyla; Equidae. The record is from RNAcentral.